GAUGAACGCUAGCGGCAGGCUUAAUACAUGCAAGUCGAGGGGCAGCGCAGUGUAGCAAUACAUGGGCGGCGACCGGCAAACGGGUGCGGAACACGUACGCAAUCUACCCAAAACUGAUGAAUAGCCCUCCGAAAGGAGGAUUAAUACAUCGUAACCUAUUAGAGUGGCAUCACUUUACUAGUAUAGCUCCGGCGGUUUUGGAUGAGCGUGCGGCUGAUUAGGUAGNGGUGUGGGUAACGGCCCACCAAGCCAGCGAUCAGUAACUGGUGUGAGAGCACGACCAGUCACACGGGCACUGAGACACGGGCCCGACUCCUACGGGAGGCAGCAGUAAGGAAUAUUGGUCAAUGGACGCAAGUCUGAACCAGCCAUGCCGCGUGAAGGAUG
RNAcentral lists this ribosomal RNA (387 nucleotides) under uncultured bacterium. RNAcentral describes it as "bacterial SSU rRNA". It matches the Rfam family "Bacterial small subunit ribosomal RNA", at positions 28 to 410 of the family's 1533-position model. The record is from RNAcentral.